AGUCCCCACAGCACUCCAAGUCGCAGGGUGCCCUCCAGCCAGAGUCCUGGCAGCCCCCGGGGAAGCAGAUUUCCCAGAGAUCCUUGUAGCAACCCAAGUAAAGCCAUGUCCAACAGCAGCAGAGAGACCCAGGGCCUCAGCCGCAGAUCAUGCUGCCCAUGGAGAGGCCCAUCCCCCGGUACUGCAGCAUCAUGUUGGAAAGCAGCUUGGAGGCUGCAGACACGGAGAUGCGUUCUCCAUUCCGAAGAUAAUACAGCCUGUGGGAGCGAGGAGGAGUGAGGAGGAGGAGGAGGAGGAGGAGGCCUCAGGGGCAGCUAUGCCUGCAUUCCCUUUCUCCCAUAGCACGAGGGAGCAAGGACCGUACAGAUGAGUG
This 373-nucleotide long non-coding RNA is filed under the name Mus pahari (shrew mouse). RNAcentral describes it as "lncRNA (MGP_PahariEiJ_G0002786.1)". The record is from RNAcentral. Lineage: Eukaryota; Metazoa; Chordata; Mammalia; Rodentia; Muridae.